UGCAGUCGAACGCCCCGCAAGGGGAGUGGCGGACGGGUGAGUAACGCGUGGGAACGUGCCCUGAGGUUGGGAAUAACUGCGGGAAACUGCMGCUAAUACCCGAUAAGCCCCGUAAGGGGGAAAGAUUUAUCGCCUUAGGAGCGGCCCGCGUCGGAUUAGCUAGUUGGUGGGGUAACGGCCUACCAAGGCUUCGAUCCGUAGCUGGUCUGAGAGGACGAUCAGCCACACUGGGACUGAGACACGGCCCAGACUCCUACGGGAGGCAGCAGUGGGGAAUCUUGCGCAAUGGGGGCAACCCUGACGCAGCCAUGCCGCGUGAACGAUGAAGGCCUUAGGGUUGUAAAGUUCUUUUACCCGUGACGAUGAUGACGGUAACGGGAGAAUAAGCUCCGGCUAACUUCGUGCCAGCAGCCGCGGUAAUACGAAGGGGGCUAGCGUUGUUCGGAAUUACUGGGCGUAAAGCGCGCGUAGGUGGUUUGGUAAGCGAUAUGUGAAAUCCCCGGGCUUAACCUGGGAACUGCAUGUCGAACUGCCAGGCUAGAGUAUGGUAGAGGGGUGUGGAAUUUCCUGUGUAGCGGUGAAAUGCGUAGAUAUAGGAAGGAACAUCAGUGGCGAAGGCGACACCCUGGACCGAUACUGACACUGAGGCGCGAAAGCGUGGGUAGCGAACAGGAUUAGAUACCCUGGUAGUCCACGCCGUAAACGAUGUCAACUAGCCGUUGGGGGGCUUGUCCCUUCAGUGGCGGAGCUAACGCGAUAAGUUGACCGCCUGGGGAGUACGGCCGCAAGGUUAAAACUCAAAUGAAUUGACGGGGGCCCGCACAAGCGGUGGAGUAUGUGGUUUAAUUCGACGCAACGCGAAAACC
This 866-nucleotide ribosomal RNA is filed under the name uncultured bacterium. Its description in RNAcentral is "bacterial SSU rRNA". It matches the Rfam family "Bacterial small subunit ribosomal RNA", at positions 56 to 969 of the family's 1533-position model. The record is from RNAcentral.